UGGUGCCAGCAGCCGCGGUAACUCCAGCUUCAGAAGCGUAUAUUAAAGUUGUUGCAGUUAAAAAGCUCGUAGUUGGAUCUGGGUCGCACGGCCACAUGCUGUGCUCAUGUUUUCUACUCUUUUGGGUGGAUAUGCGUGAGUCGGCGUAGUGGUUGUGCUGCCUUUCUGCCGUGUCUGUGUAUGCGGGUGCUGGCUGGUCCGAUGGGUUCGUCCUGUUGGCCAGUUGGCAUGCUUCUUGAUGCCUUUAACACGGUGUCGGGAGCGGACGGCACGUUUACUUUGAACAAAUUUGAGUGCUCAAAGCAGGCCAAUGCGCCUGAAAAUUCUUGCAUGGAAUAAUGGAAUAGGACUUCGGUUCUAUUUUGUUGGUUUUCGGAUCCGAAGUAAUGGUUAAGAGGGACAGACGGGGGCAUUUGUAUGG
This 421-nucleotide ribosomal RNA is filed under the name Gymnophallus sp. Nc126BYm1. Its description in RNAcentral is "SSU rRNA". It matches the Rfam family "Eukaryotic small subunit ribosomal RNA", at positions 562 to 899 of the family's 1831-position model. The record is from RNAcentral. Lineage: Eukaryota; Metazoa; Platyhelminthes; Trematoda; Gymnophallidae.